AGAGUUUGAUCAUGGCUCAGGACGAACGCUGGCGGCGCGCCUAACACAUGCAAGUCGAACGGAGCUUAGAGAGCUUGCUUUUUAAGCUUAGUGGCGAACGGGUGAGUAACGCGUGAGUAACCUGCCCUAGAGUGGGGGACAACAGUUGGAAACGACUGCUAAUACCGCAUAAGCCCACGGUACCGCAUGGUACUGAGGGAAAAGGAUUUAUUCGCUUUAGGAUGGACUCGCGUCCAAUUAGCUAGUUGGUGAGGUAACGGCCCACCAAGGCGACGAUUGGUAGCCGGACUGAGAGGUUGAACGGCCACAUUGGGACUGAGACACGGCCCAGACUCCUACGGGAGGCAGCAGUGGGGGAUAUUGCACAAUGGGGGAAACCCUGAUGCAGCGACGCCGCGUGGAGGAAGAAGGUUUUCGGAUUGUAAACUCCUGUCGUUAGGGACGAUAAUGACGGUACCUAACAAGAAAGCACCGGCUAACUACGUGCCAGCAGCCGCGGUAAAACGUAGGGUGCAAGCGUUGUCCGGAAUUACUGGGUGUAAAGGGAGCGCAGGCGGGAAGACAAGUUGGAAGUGAAAACCAUGGGCUCAACCCAUGAAUUGCUUUCAAAACUGUUUUUCUUGAGUAGUGCAGAGGUAGAUGGAAUUCCCGGUGUAGCGGUGGAAUGCGUAGAUAUCGGGAGGAACACCAGUGGCGAAGGCGGUCUACUGGGCACCAACUGACGCUGAGGCUCGAAAGCAUGGGUAGCAAACAGGAUUAGAUACCCUGGUAGUCCAUGCCGUAAACGAUGAUUACUAGGUGUUGGGGGAUUGACCCCCUCAGUGCCGCAGUUAACACAAUAAGUAAUCCACCUGGGGAGUACGACCGCAAGGUUGAAACUCAAAGGAAUUGACGGGGGCCCGCACAAGCAGUGGAGUAUGUGGUUUAAUUCGAAGCAACGCGAAGAACCUUACCAGGUCUUGACAUCCGAUGCAUAGCACAGAGAUGUGUGAAAUCCUUCGGGACAUCGAGACAGGUGGUGCAUGGUUGUCGUCAGCUCGUGUCGUGAGAUGUUGGGUUAAGUCCCGCAACGAGCGCAACCCUUAUUGCCAGUUACUACGUUAAGAGGACUCUGGCGAGACUGCCGUUGACAAAACGGGGGAAGGUGGGGAUGACGUCAAAUCAUCAUGCCCUUUAUGACCUGGGCUACACACGUACUACAAUGGCGUUAAACAAAGAGAAGCAAGACCG
This 1230-nucleotide ribosomal RNA is filed under the name metagenome. Its description in RNAcentral is "bacterial SSU rRNA". It matches the Rfam family "Bacterial small subunit ribosomal RNA", at positions 8 to 1257 of the family's 1533-position model. The record is from RNAcentral.